UUUACAAGUUUGAUUUAAGAAAAGAUUUUUAAAAAGGAAAUGGCAUAAGGUCAAAGUUUCUAGUUUGCAAUAAAGUCUAAGUUUUAAAAUCACAAGUAAAGAAUUUUUUUUUUUGAAAAGGGGCCGAGAUUUUGAAAUUUAAGAAGUGGGAGGACAUGAAGAGGCUCACCUAAGCAUAAAAUUAAACGUUAAGAGUUUAAAAGAUCUGACCAAUGGGAUGUAAUCCAACAGACAAGAAUGUCAUAUAGAAAACCCAUUUUCCCUUUGGACUUUGAAUCAAGGAAUUAGCAAUAUGAAGAGCAAGACAUCAAAUAAAUGUGGCCACAUCCAAGCA
This 334-nucleotide long non-coding RNA is filed under the name Lathyrus oleraceus (garden pea). RNAcentral's name for it is "Pisum sativum (pea) long non-coding RNA (PSAT_LNC016120)". The record is from RNAcentral. Lineage: Eukaryota; Viridiplantae; Streptophyta; Magnoliopsida; Fabales; Fabaceae.